This 468-nucleotide ribosomal RNA is filed under the name uncultured bacterium. RNAcentral's name for it is "partial 16S ribosomal RNA". It matches the Rfam family "Bacterial small subunit ribosomal RNA", at positions 28 to 507 of the family's 1533-position model. The record is from RNAcentral.
GACGAACGCUGGCGGCGUGCUUAACACAUGCAAGUCGAACGGAAAGGCCCUGCUUUUGUGGGGUGCUCGAGUGGCGAACGGGUGAGUAACACGUGAGUAACCUGCCCUUGACUUUGGGAUAACUUCAGGAAACUGGGGCUAAUACCGGAUAGGAGCUCCUGCUGCAUGGUGGGGGUUGGAAAGUUUCGGCGGUGGGGGAUGGACUCGCGGCUUAUCAGCUUGUUGGUGGGGUAGUGGCUUACCAAGGCUUUGACGGGUAGCCGGCCUGAGAGGGUGACCGGCCACAUGGGGACUGAGAUACGGCCCAGACUCCUACGGGAGGCAGCAGUGGGGAAUAUUGCACAAUGGGCGGAAGCCUGAUGCAGCAACGCCGCGUGCGGGAUGACGGCCUUCGGGUUGUAAACCGCUUUCGCCUGUGACGAAGCGUGAGUGACGGUAAUGGGUAAAGAAGCACCGGCUAACUACGUG